Molecule: ribosomal RNA, 876 nt
Filed under: uncultured euryarchaeote
Lineage: Archaea; Methanobacteriati; Methanobacteriota
Description: bacterial SSU rRNA
Rfam family: Archaeal small subunit ribosomal RNA
Source: RNAcentral
AGCUACCGCUAUUGGAGUUCGAUUAAGCCAUGCGAGUCGCGAGUCUUAGGGACUCGGCGUACCGCUCAGUAACACGUGGGUAACCUGCCCUAUGCUGGGGGAUAACCUCGGGAAACUGAGAAUAAUACCCCAUAGUUCACCACGCCUGGAACGGUGGGUGGACCAAAGCUCCGGCGGCAUAGGAUGGGCCUGCGGCGUAUCAGGUUGUAGGGGGUGUAAUGUACCCUCUAGCCCUCUACGCGUACGGGUGUUGAGAGACAUCGCCCGGAGAUGGAUUCUGAGACACGAAUCCAGACCCUACGGGGUGCAGCAGGCGCGAAAACUUGGCAAUGCGAGAAAUCGUGACCAGGGAACUCCAAGUGCAUCGGGUAAGACCGAUGCUUUUCUUGACUCUUCAAAGGUCUUGGAAUAAGGGGUGGGUAAGGACGGUGCCAGCCGCCGCGGUAAUACCGGCGCCCCAAGUGGUAGUCGCUUUUAUUGGGCCUAAAACGUCCGUAGCCGGUCUGGUACAUUCGUGGGUAAAUCAACCAGCUCAACUGGUUGAAUUCUGCGAGCACGGCCAGACUUGGGACCGGGAGAGGUGUGGGGUACUCUCAGGGUAGGGGUAAAAUCCUGUCAUCCUGAGAGGACCACCUGUUGCGAAGGCGCCACACUAGAACGGAUCCGACGGUCAGGGACGAAGCCUAGGGGCACGAACCGGAUUAGAUACCCGGGUAGUCCUAGGUGUAAACGCUGUGGACUUGAUGUUGGGGGCGCUCCGAGCGCACUCAGUGUCGAAGCGAAGGUGAUAAGUCCACUGCCUGGGGAGUACGGUCGCAAGGCUGAAACUUAAAGGAAUUGGCGGGGGAGCACCGCAACCUGAGGAUUGUGCGGUUU